CUGCGGCGGAUGUUGCGUAAAGGGAAAGGUCGUAGUCAAACCCCACAGCCACGCGAACUCUAAGUCAGCCACGAAUAGGCUAUCCCAACUAACGGCGGGAAAGACUCCACGGAGGGUGUAAGACCCGUGUGGGCGCGUGUUAAAGCUGUGCGGGCUCGGCCUCUAUUCCCUGAGAGUCGCGUUGCUUGAGCAUGCAGCGCUAAGCAGGUCGUAAACUCGAUCUAAGGCUAAAUAUCUCCACAGAACCGAUAGCGAACAAGUACCGUGAGGGAAAGUUGAAAAGCACUCUGGAGAGAGAGUCAAAAGACCGUGAAACCGCUCAGAGUAUAAGCCCAUGGCAGCUUGGAAGGCAUAUCGAAAGCGGGGCAUCGGUCUGCCUUCGCGGGUGGUCGGUGUUACCUUGCUUCUGUUGUGGCUCGUCAAGGUAGGGGGGUCAGGUCCACAUCCCGCCGUCGUGUGGGGGGUUCUUGGGUGUGUUGUGGUUUUUCGGUUGGCUUCGGCUGGCCGGAGGGCCCUUCGUGCUCGGUUCCUCUUUUGACACGGACGUUCAGACUCAGAGGCAAGACGCGAUAAACAGCCCACCACGGCACGUUGUGAGGUCACCCACAGGCUCGACUUUCGAUCGUGAACCUUGACGCCGAGCAAGCACAAUGCGUGUCGCAAAUGUUCCUAACCAGGCAACGCUGCCAGGACCGUGGAACGACACGCGCUCAACAGUCAGGUUCGGGCGGAGACAGAGUUCUGGUAUGAUCCUCUUGCGACGAGCCGGCUUCUGGCCAACAUCCGAUGCUCAGGUCUCCCGCAUGUGCCGCGGGAGAUCGCCUUGACGGUCUGGAUCUUUCACGAGUCCUCUCAGUCGGGCACGGA
Molecule: ribosomal RNA, 867 nt
Filed under: Gammarus sp. s TM-2021
Lineage: Eukaryota; Metazoa; Arthropoda; Malacostraca; Amphipoda; Gammaridae
Description: partial 28S ribosomal RNA
Rfam family: Eukaryotic large subunit ribosomal RNA
Source: RNAcentral